RNAcentral lists this ribosomal RNA (400 nucleotides) under uncultured bacterium. Its description in RNAcentral is "bacterial SSU rRNA". It matches the Rfam family "Bacterial small subunit ribosomal RNA", at positions 356 to 773 of the family's 1533-position model. The record is from RNAcentral.
GGGGAAUAUUGGACAAUGGGCGCAAGCCUGAUCCAGCCAUGCCGCGUGAGUGAUGAAGGCCUUAGGGUUGUAAAGCUCUUUUAUCCGGGACGAUAAUGACGGUACCGGAAGAAUAAGCCCCGGCUAACUUCGUGCCAGCAGCCGCGGUAAUACGAAGGGGGCUAGCGUUGCUCGGAAUCACUGGGCGUAAAGGGCGCGUAGGCGGACAUUUAAGUCAGGGGUGAAAUCCCGGGGCUCAACCUCGGAAUUGCCUUUGAUACUGGGUGUCUCGAGACCGGAAGAGGUAAGUGGAACUGCGAGUGUAGAGGUGAAAUUCGUAGAUAUUCGCAAGAACACCAGUGGCGAAGGCGGCUUACUGGUCCGGUUCUGACGCUGAGGCGCGAAAGUGUGGGGAGCAAAC